UACGAACCGUACAAACGUUAUUCGGAAUCACUGGGCUUAAAGGGUGCGUAGGCGGCCAUGUAAGUGGGGUGUGAAAUCCCUCGGCUCAACCGAGGAACUGCGCUCCAUACUGCAUGGCUUGAGGGAGACAGGGGUAAGCGGAACUGAUGGUGGAGCGGUGAAAUGCGUUGAUAUCAUCAGGAACACCGGUGGCGAAAGCGGCUUACUGGGUCUCUUCUGACGCUGAGGUACGAAAGCGUGGGGAGCAAACAGG
Molecule: ribosomal RNA, 253 nt
Filed under: uncultured bacterium
Lineage: Bacteria
Description: partial 16S ribosomal RNA
Rfam family: Bacterial small subunit ribosomal RNA
Source: RNAcentral